CCUACGGGAGGCAGCAGUGGGGAAUAUUGCACAAUGGGGGAAACCCUGAUGCAGCGACGCCGCGUGAGUGAAGACGUCUUUCGGUAUGUAAAGCUCUAUCAGCAGGGAAGAAAUAGCGACCUUUGGGUCGCCAUACGGUACCUGAUUAAAAAGCACCGGCUAACUUCGUGCCAGCAGCCCCGGUAUUACGUAGGGGGCAAGCGUUAUCCGGAUUUACUGGGUGUAAAUGGAGCGUAGACGGCAGCGCAAGUCUGAAGUGAAAUGCCUGGGAUUAACCCCGGAACUGCUUUGGAAACUGUGGAGCUAGAGUGCAGGAGAGGUAAGUGGAAUUCGUAGUGUAGCGGUGAAAUGCGUAGAUAUUAGGAGGAACACCAGUGGCGAAGGCGGCUUACUGGACUGUAACUGACGCUGAGGCUCGAAAGCGUGGGGAGCAAACAGGAUUAGAUACCCCUGUAGUC
RNAcentral lists this ribosomal RNA (458 nucleotides) under uncultured bacterium. RNAcentral describes it as "partial 16S ribosomal RNA". It matches the Rfam family "Bacterial small subunit ribosomal RNA", at positions 338 to 795 of the family's 1533-position model. The record is from RNAcentral.